AUCCGGGUUGCGGACAGUGUCUGGUGGGUAGUUUGACUGGGGCGGUCUCCUCCUAAAGAGUAACGGAGGAGCACGAAGGUUGGCUAAUCCUGGUCGGACAUCAGGAGGUUAGUGCAAUGGCAUAAGCCAGCUUGACUGCGAGCGUGACGGCGCGAGCAGGUGCGAAAGCAGGUCAUAGUGAUCCGGUGGUUCUGAAUGGAAGGGCCAUCGCUCAACGGAUAAAAGGUACUCCGGGGAUAACAGGCUGAUACCGCCCAAGAGUUCAUAUCGACGGCGGUGUUUGGCACCUCGAUGUCGGCUCAUCACAUCCUGGGGCUGAAGUAGGUCCCAAGGGUAUGGCUGUUCGCCAUUUAAAGUGGUACGCGAGCUGGGUUUAGAACGUCGUGAGACAGUUCGGUCCCUAUCUGCCGUGGGCGCUGGAGAACUGAGGGGGGCUGCUCCUAGUACGAGAGGACCGGAGUGGACGCAUCACUGGUGUUCGGG
RNAcentral lists this ribosomal RNA (483 nucleotides) under Escherichia coli. RNAcentral's name for it is "partial 23S ribosomal RNA". It matches the Rfam family "Bacterial large subunit ribosomal RNA", at positions 2238 to 2720 of the family's 2925-position model. The record is from RNAcentral. Lineage: Bacteria; Pseudomonadati; Pseudomonadota; Gammaproteobacteria; Enterobacterales; Enterobacteriaceae. RNAcentral also lists the same sequence under 2 other names.